RNAcentral lists this ribosomal RNA (447 nucleotides) under uncultured bacterium. RNAcentral's name for it is "partial 16S ribosomal RNA". It matches the Rfam family "Bacterial small subunit ribosomal RNA", at positions 29 to 523 of the family's 1533-position model. The record is from RNAcentral.
AACGAACGCUGGCGGCAGGCUUAACACAUGCAAGUCGAACGCCCCGCAAGGGGAGUGGCAGACGGGUGAGUAACGCGUGGGAAUCUACCCAACCCUACGGAACAACUCCGGGAAACUGGAGCUAAUACCGUAUACGCCCUUAGGGGGAAAGAUUUAUCGGGGAUGGAUGAGCCCGCGUUGGAUUAGCCAGUUGGUGGGGUAAAGGCCUUCCAAGGCGACGAUCCAUAGCUGGUCUGAGAGGAUGAUCAGCCACAUUGGGACUGAGACACGGCCCAAACUCCUACGGGAGGCAGCAGUGGGGAAUAUUGGACAAUGGGCGCAAGCCCGAUCCAGCCAUGCCGCGUGAGUGAUGAAGGUCUUAGGAUUGUAAAGCUCUUUCACCGGAGAAGAUAAUGACGGUAUCCGGAGAAGAAGCCCCGGCUAACUUCGUGCCAGCCGCCGCCGUAA